GCUCAGUGGGCGUCGCGCGAAGGCUAAGGGAGUGUGGCGGGCGGCUCCGGGAACCAACAUGCCUCGGUAUGCGCAGCUGGUCAUGGGCCCCGCGGGCAGCGGGAAGAGCACCUACUGUGCCACCAUGGUCCAGCACUGUGAAGCCCUCAACCGGUCUGUCCAAGUUGUAAACCUGGAUCCAGCAGCAGAACACUUCAACUACUCCGUGAUGGCUGGUAAGUCCUGAGCAGAGGCUCCCCCCACCUUCAGGAACAGUAAGGGCUGGGGAGGCAGUGAGUACUAGCUGCUUAGCACAGAUUGUUAUUAUAGUCUGGAUCCCUGGUUUUAUGGUAAAUAGCAUGAGCUUGUCAUUUGGUCACAUCUGUUCAUGGUGAUAUGUGUGACAGUAUCCUUGCUUGGUCUUUGAUGUAAGAUUUAAAAGUAAAUGGGGCCGGGUGCAGAGGCUCACGCCUGUAAUCCCAGCACUUUGGGAGGCCGAGGCGGGUGGAUCACGAGGUCAGGAGUUCGAGACCAGCCUGACCAACAUGAUGAAACCCUGUCU
Molecule: small RNA, 541 nt
Filed under: Pongo abelii (Sumatran orangutan)
Lineage: Eukaryota; Metazoa; Chordata; Mammalia; Primates; Hominidae
Description: retained intron
Source: RNAcentral